CCCUUAGAUGUUCUGGGCUGCACGCGCGCUACACUGACAUGUCCAGCGAGCUCCCAACCUGCUCGGCAAAGAAUGGGUACCCUUUUUAACGCAUGUCGUGAUGGGGAUAGAUUAUUGCAAUUGUUGAUCUUGAACGAGGAAUUCCUAGUAAGUGCAAGUCAUUAGCUUGUGCUGAAUACGUCCCUGCCCUUUGUACACACCGCCCGUCGCUCCUACCGAUUGAGCGAUCCGGUGAAUGUUUUGGACUGGCGUCAGAAGCGGUUCGCUCCUGACACUACGAAAUUUUGUAAACCUUAUCGCUUAGAGGAAGGAAAAGUCGUAACA
RNAcentral lists this ribosomal RNA (324 nucleotides) under uncultured eukaryote. RNAcentral describes it as "partial 18S ribosomal RNA". It matches the Rfam family "Eukaryotic small subunit ribosomal RNA", at positions 1470 to 1796 of the family's 1831-position model. The record is from RNAcentral.